AUUGAACGCUGGCGGCAUGCUUUACACAUGCAAGUCGAACGGUAACAGGGUGCUUGCACCGCUGACGAGUGGCGAACGGGUGAGUAAUGCGUCGGAACGUGCCGAGUAGUGGGGGAUAACGCAGCGAAAGUUGUGCUAAUACCGCAUACGUACUGAGGUAGAAAGUGGGGGACCUUCGGGCCUCACGCUAUUCGAGCGGCCGACGUCUGAUUAGCUAGUAGGUGAGGUAAAGGCUCACCUAGGCGACGAUCAGUAGCGGGUCUGAGAGGAUGAUCCGCCACACUGGGACUGAGACACGGCCCAGACUCCUACGGAGGGGAGCAGUGGGGAAUUUUGGACAAUGGGCGAAAGCCUGAUCCAGCCAUGCCGCGUGUCUGAAGAAGGCCUUCGGGUUGUAAAGGACUUUUGUCAGGGAGGAAAUCCCUAGUGCUAAUAACACUGGGGGAUGACAGUACCUGAAGAAUAAGCACCGGCUAACUACGUGCCAGCAGCAGCCGCCG
RNAcentral lists this ribosomal RNA (500 nucleotides) under uncultured bacterium. RNAcentral describes it as "partial 16S ribosomal RNA". It matches the Rfam family "Bacterial small subunit ribosomal RNA", at positions 30 to 523 of the family's 1533-position model. The record is from RNAcentral.